GGUGGGGUGCCGGAGUGGUCGAACGGGGCGGUCUCGAAAACCGUUGUGCCUUUUGGGCACCGUGGGUUCGAAUCCCACCCCCACCG
Molecule: transfer RNA, 86 nt
Filed under: Alphaproteobacteria bacterium
Lineage: Bacteria; Pseudomonadati; Pseudomonadota; Alphaproteobacteria
Description: tRNA-Ser
Rfam family: tRNA
About the family: Transfer RNA (tRNA) molecules are approximately 80 nucleotides in length. Their secondary structure includes four short double-helical elements and three loops (D, anti-codon, and T loops).
Source: RNAcentral